AUUGAACGCUGGCGGCAGGCCUAACACAUGCAAGUCGAACGGCAGCACAGAAGAGCUUGCUCUUUGGGUGGCGAGUGGCGGACGGGUGAGUAAUGUCUGGGAAACUGCCCGCUGGAGGGGGAUAACUACUGGAAACGGUAGCUAAUACCGCAUAACGUCGCCAGACCAAAGUGGGGGACCUUCGGGCCUCACACCAUCGGAUGUGGCCAGAGGGGAUUAGCUAGUAGGUGGGGUAAUGGCUCACCUAGGCGACGAUCCCUAGCUGGUCUGAGAGGAUGACCAGCCACACUGGAACUGAGACACGGUCCAGACUCCUACGGGAGGCAGCAGUGGGGAAUAUUGCACAAUGGGCGCAAGCCUGAUGCAGCCAUGCCGCGUGUAUGAAGAAGGCCUUCGGGUUGUAAAGUACUUUCAGCGGGGAGGAAGGCGGUGAGGUUAAUAACCUCGCCGAUUGACGUUACCCGCAGAAGAAGCACCGGCUAACUCCGUGCCAGCCGCCGCCGUAA
RNAcentral lists this ribosomal RNA (506 nucleotides) under uncultured bacterium. RNAcentral's name for it is "partial 16S ribosomal RNA". It matches the Rfam family "Bacterial small subunit ribosomal RNA", at positions 29 to 523 of the family's 1533-position model. The record is from RNAcentral.